RNAcentral lists this ribosomal RNA (700 nucleotides) under uncultured bacterium. RNAcentral describes it as "bacterial SSU rRNA". It matches the Rfam family "Bacterial small subunit ribosomal RNA", at positions 413 to 1105 of the family's 1533-position model. The record is from RNAcentral.
GGCCCUAUGGGUUGUAAAGCUCUGUCAGAUUGGGAAGAAAAUCCUACGGUUAAUACCCGUGGGACUUGACGGUACCAUCAGAGGAAGCACCGGCUAACUCCGUGCCAGCAGCCGCGGUAAUACGGAGGGUGCAAGCGUUGUUCGGAUUCACUGGGUAUAAAGGGUGCGCAGGCGGCCCGAUAAGUCAGGGGUGAAAUAUGACGGCUCAACCGUCAAACUGCCCCUGAAACUGUCAGGCUUGAGUUCGAGAGAGGUAGGUGGAAUUCCAGGUGUAGCGGUGAAAUGCGUAAAUAUCUGGAGGAACACCGGUGGCGAAGGCGGCCUACUGGCUCGAUACUGACGCUCAGGCACGAAAGCAUGGGGAGCGAACGGGAUUAGAUACCCCGGUAGUCCAUGCCGUAAACGAUGGGUACUAGGUGUUGGAGGAUUCUACCCCUUCAGUGCCGCAGCUAACGCAUUAAGUACCCCACCUGGGGAGUACGAUCGCAAGGUUGAAACUCAAAGGAAUUGACGGGGGCCCGCACAAGCGGUGGAGCAUGUGGUUUAAUUCGAUGCAACGCGAAGAACCUUACCUGGGCUUGACAUGCAGGGGACAGAUGUAGAAAUACAUCCUUCUUCGGACUCCUGUACAGGUGCUGCAUGGCUGUCGUCAGCUCGUGUCGUGAGAUGUUGGGUUAAGUCCCGCAACGAGCGCAACCCU